This 667-nucleotide unclassified non-coding RNA is filed under the name Sitophilus oryzae (rice weevil). Its description in RNAcentral is "serine/arginine-rich splicing factor 11-like, transcript variant X3". The record is from RNAcentral. Lineage: Eukaryota; Metazoa; Arthropoda; Insecta; Coleoptera; Curculionidae.
ACCAAUGGCGUCGAACUAUUUUCUAAUUUUUAGGAUUAUUACAGUUUUCUUGUAACGAUUUCAUUGGUUUAACUUCUUUUGGUUUAGAGGCGCUUUAGUUACCAGUUUGGAGGUUGUCCACCUGUGUUUUCUAUGCGUAAACAAGACAAGAGACAGAAGACAGACAGAUGAGACAGAGCAAGAGGAGCAAGAAGCAAGAAAAAAGAUUGUGUAAAAAUUUGGUAGCCAUAUUGUGUCACUUUAUUGGAUUAGUUUUGGAGUGAAUAUAAGAAGAAUGUCGGCCCCAGCAACCUUAGACCAAAUUAAAACUGUGCCGUUCGACUCGCGCUUCCCGAACACCAACCAGACGCGUCACUGCUACCAGAGCUACGUGGACUACCACAGGUGCCAGAGAAUCAGGGGAGCCAACUACGCACCGUGCGACUACUUCAAGAAGGUGUUCAACGCCACCUGCCCCAACUCCUGGAUCGAAAAAUGGGACGAGCAAAGAGCCGAUGGAGUAUUCCCCGGAAACAUCUAAUUUUUUGUCCUGUUAAAUGCAUAUAUAAUCAGUAAUUAUGUAUAGUUUAUUGUAGAAUUUUUGUUAUCAAAUAUAUUACUCCAAAUGUAAAUUAUUUGCUAUAUUAAGUAAACCAUUUUAGUAAUAAAUCUGGCUGAGAUAUUGUUA